GGCUACCGCUAUUGGAAUCUGAUUAAGCCAUGCGAGUUGAAAGGGUUUAGACCCUUAGCGGACGGCUCAGUAACACGUGGAGAACCUACCCUCAGGUGGGGGAUAAUCCCGGGAAACUGGGAAUAAUACCCCAUAGGUCUCGAUUGCUGGAAUGCUUCGAGGCUGAAAGUUCCGACGUCUGAGGAUGGCUCUGCGGCCUAUCAGGUAGUAGUGAGGGUAACGUCCUCACUAGCCGAUGACGGGUACGGGCGUUGAGAGACGGAGCCCGGAGAUGGACUCUGAGACACGAGUCCAGGCCCUACGGGGCGCAGCAGGCGCGAAACCUCCGCAAUGCUCGAAAGAGUGACGGGGGGAUUCCAAGUGCCUACGCUUCGCGUAGGCUGUUCAGAUGCCUAAAAAGCAUUUGGAGGAAGGACUGGGUAAGACGGGUGCCAGCCGCCGCGGUAAUACCCGCAGUCCGAGUGGUGGUCGAUUUUAUUGGGCCUAAAGCGUCCGUAGCCGGUCUGGUAAAUGCCUGGGUAAAUCGUCUGGCUCAACCAAACGAAUUCCGGGUAGACUACCAGACUUGGGACCGGUUGAGGGAGAGGGUACUUCAGGGGUAGGAGUGAAAUCUUGUAAUCCCUGAAGGACCACCAGUGGCGAAGGCGCUCUCCUAGAACGGGUCCGACGGUGAGGGACGAAAGCCAGGGGAGCAAACCGGAUUAGAUACCCGGGUAGUCCUGGCCGUAAACGAUGCGGGCUUUGCAUUGGGGAUCCUACGAGGGUGCCCAGUGCCGAAGCGAAGGCGUUAAGCCCGCCGCCUGGGAAGUAUGGUCGCAAGGCUGAAACUUAAAGGAAUUGGCGGGGGAGCACUGCAAUGGGAGGAGCGUGCGGUUU
RNAcentral lists this ribosomal RNA (876 nucleotides) under uncultured archaeon. RNAcentral describes it as "bacterial SSU rRNA". It matches the Rfam family "Archaeal small subunit ribosomal RNA", at positions 22 to 903 of the family's 1478-position model. The record is from RNAcentral.